GAGUGCUGUAAUGGAGGUUUAUGUCUCUAGGAGUGGACUGGAGUGCUGUAAUGGAGGUUUAUGUCUCUAGGAGUGGACUGGAGUGCUGUAAUGGAGGUUUAUGUCUCUAGGAGUGGACUGGAGUGCUGUAAUGGAGGUUUAUGUCUCUAGGAGUGGACUGGAGUGCUGUAAUGGAGGUUUAUGUCUCUAGGAGUGGACUGGAGUGCUGUAAUGGAGGUUUAUGUCUCUAGGAGUGGACUGGAGUGCUGUAAUGGAGGUUUAUGUCUCUAGGAGUGGACUGGAGUGCUGUAAUGGAGGUUUAUGUCUCUAGGAGUGGACUGGAGUGCUGUAAUGGAGGUUUAUGUCUCUAGGAGUGGACUGGAGUGCUGUAAUGGAGGUUUAUGUCUCUAGGAGUGGACUGGAGUGCUGUAAUGGAGGUUUAUGUCUCUAGGAGUGGACUGGAGUGCUGUAAUGGAGGUUUAUGUCUCUCUAGGAGUGGACUGGAGUGCUGUAAUGGAGGUUUAUGUCUCUCUAGGAGUGGACUGGAGUGCUGUAAUGGAGGUUUAUGUCUCUAGGAGUGGACUGGAGUGCUGUAAUGGAGGUUUAUGUCUCUCUAGGAGUGGACUGGAGUGCUGUAAUGGAGGUUUAUGUCUCUAGGAGUGGACUGGAGUGCUGUAAUGGAGGUUUAUGUCUCUCUAGGAGUGGACUGGAGUGCUGUAAUGGAGGUUUAUGUCUCUAGGAGUGGACUGGAGUGCUGUAAUGGAGGUUUAUGUCUCUAGGAGUGGACUGGAGUGCUGUAAUGGAGGUUUAUGUCUCUAGGAGUGGACUGGAGUGCUGUAAUGGAGGUUUAUGUCUCUAGGAGUGGACUGGAGUGCUGUAAUGGAGGUUUAUGUCUCUAGGAGUGGACUGGAGUGCUGUAAUGGAGGUUUAUGUCUCUAGGAGUGGACUGGAGUGCUGUAAUGGAGGUUUAUGUCUCUAGGAGUGGACUGGAGUGCUGUAAUGGAGGUUUAUGUCUCUAGGAGUGGACUGGAGUGCUGUAAUGGAGGUUUAUGUCUCUAGGAGUGGACU
Oncorhynchus tshawytscha (Chinook salmon) is the source of this 1047-nucleotide long non-coding RNA. RefSeq lists it as uncharacterized. Lineage: Eukaryota; Metazoa; Chordata; Actinopteri; Salmoniformes; Salmonidae. The transcript is spliced from 3 exons. The record is from RefSeq and is a predicted model, not a curated record.